RNAcentral lists this long non-coding RNA (1355 nucleotides) under Numida meleagris (helmeted guineafowl). Its description in RNAcentral is "lncRNA (ENSNMEG00000003605.1)". Lineage: Eukaryota; Metazoa; Chordata; Aves; Galliformes; Numididae. The record is from RNAcentral.
AAAAACGAAAACACUGGACUCAAUAUUCCAAGAGGAAAAUAUGCAUUUAAAGCUCUUCCCAAGCACACUUGCAACGUAAACAGACAAACCAUUAAUGAGCUCUUGUGCUCUCUGGUGCCCAUCAUCAGGUGGUUCGGAUACAGUGAGCUUGGCUGCAGCAUGUGGAUGUCAGAGCACGGAGUAGACAAUCCUCGAAUACCCCACUGCCUUCAUUCUUUGGGCUGCCACACCUCCCAGCCUGGGGAUGGGGCAGGAAAGCGUAUGGCCCAGUUUAAGGGUCUCCAUUUUUCAAAUAUUCAGAGAAAUAGUGACCAAAGCUGCCAUUUAGUCAAAGCUCCAAUUCUCAUGUUUCAUCCCUGUGAUGUUUCUAAAUCGGUUACAUUGAGUGGAGGAGUCCUUCUUGGCCUGCUUUGUUAUCAGAAAGGAUAUUUACUGCACCACCACUGUAUUGCAGAAGUGAUAUUCGCAGUGAAAGAAUUGGUGCAAAGCACAAAACAAAUUAUGUAAACAGUGGAAGACUGCGGAGAGACGAAUGGCUUUAAAUACAAGCCUUUUGACGACUCGAGAUCAAAAGAAGUACUGUUUAUCCUUUAAGCUGCAAAUGGCUGGCAAAUAUCCUUCUGCUCUGAUGCUGUAAAUAGUAAAUGCUGUUUACGACUAGUCAAUGUUUGUGUAUUUUAUGGGUCACAUUUAUUUCAGAGGGAUCAUUUUUUAUUUGCUGUGUUAACCUUACCUACAUUCCCCUGGGGCCAAGUCACCUCCUGGGCGCUAUUCCCGGCUCUGAUGUUGGUCACCUGGAAGGGUUGGGCAGCUCGUGUCCUGCCGCUAUGCCUUGAAUUCUGCACCAGCGGUGUUGGCCUGGCCCAGAAGGUUAUAGCUCUCCUGCUGAAUUGCUUGGAUGAAGCAGCAAUGUGAGGCUUGUAAAAGUUGAAGGUCACUGUGAAUGCAGCUCUUUUUCUCCAACAAAUGAGCGAACAUACCAACUGGACCAAGGCAAACCCUACAAAAGGACCAUGGCACAAAGGCACAGUGGUAAAGACUGUGGGAUGGUCUAAGAAGAGCUAUGUAAAAUCAUUCUGAAUAGCAGCGGUGUUACAAAACAUUGGCAGACAGAGGGAUGAGGGAGAUCCUUGGCUGCAGUCCAUGAGGCAUCUGGCCUGAUGGAUGGGCACCUAGACAGAAAGCCAAAGGCAACCAAAGGCUUUGGGCUGAUGCAUGACCACACUUGUCAUCUUCUGUCAUUCUGGGCCUACCACCGGGGACAGCAGUUGCAGUGACUUCGUUCGACUGAUGCGAGUAAUUACUUUAAUGAACUGUCUGCAGGAAAGCUAAAGAAAAACACAUCUUGUAAUGAU